GAUUGGCCACAGGAAGUCAUGUGGACUCUCCAUGAACGUGAACUUUUUAUUGUGGUUUUCUUAUACGCUCUGCUCCUUGUUGUAACAGUCCACCCAGUGCCAGUCCCUGUGGAACUGUUGCUAGCUUGGAGGCAUUUUGGAAAUAAUGAAUUUACUGCACCUCUUGGUCGCCUCCCCCUUUUCCACCCCUAGGGGCAAAAGGCACUACAUUUCCUUUGGAGCAAGCAAAGAAUAAGGAAGCGCCGAGUUCUCCACACAGCAUCACUGGAUCAGACAGAGGGAGUGAGAGAGGGAGAGAGAGAAAGGGAGAGAAAAAGGGAGAG
Rana temporaria (common frog) is the source of this 323-nucleotide long non-coding RNA. RefSeq lists it as uncharacterized. The transcript is spliced from 3 exons. NCBI's taxonomy places the organism in Eukaryota, Metazoa, Chordata, Amphibia, Anura, Ranidae. The record is from RefSeq and is a predicted model, not a curated record.